This 31-nucleotide transfer RNA is filed under the name Costus pulverulentus. RNAcentral's name for it is "partial tRNA-Phe". RNAcentral also lists the same sequence under 1 other name. The record is from RNAcentral. Lineage: Eukaryota; Viridiplantae; Streptophyta; Magnoliopsida; Zingiberales; Costaceae.
GUCGGGAUAGCUCAGUGGUAGAGCAGAGGAC